AACUCUAUGCUCUAAUGUUAAUCAACAUGCCUACAACCAAAGGAGAGAGUAAAACCCAAAGUCAAGACAAGCAGCUUGAUGCUGAGGGAGAAGAUGGCAACGAGGAUGAAGACGACGAAGAAGAUGAUGAUGGAGAUGGUGCAUUUGGAGAAGGAGAAGAGGAAUUGUCAUCUGAAGAUGGAGGUGGAUAUGGCAACAAUUCCAACAAUAAGAGCAACUCAAAGAAGACUCCUGAAGGUGGUGCUGGUGGGGCAGAUGAAAAUGGAGAAGAGGAAGACGAUGAAGAUGGUGAAGGUGAUGACCAUGAUGAAGAUGACGAUGAGGACGAGGACGACGAAGAAGAGGAUGAGGUCGGAGAAGAGGACGAAGAAGAUGGUGUUGAAGAAGAGAAUGAAGAGGAAGAAGAAGACGAAGAUGAGGAAGCCUUGCAGCCACCAAAGAAAAGGAAGAAGUGAAUUUAGCUUAGUCAAGCCUCCUUUUGUAUUGUUGUGUACGAAUUUGGCUUCUAACUUCCCAUGAUGUUUUUUUUAAGUAUUAAACUUCUAUGUUCUUGUUUUCUUUAUAAGGAGGCCUAUGUAGGACAUGUUUUAAUUGAUAUCUGUGUUUACCAUUGCGUAAUUAGAAUUCUACAUUAUGUUGAGCAGUCAGUCUUAAAUUUACAAGACAGAAAAAAUAAUGAUCCUAGUUAAUUUUAACGUGACUUUUCUCACUUCACCAACUUCUGUAAUUUGUUUAUGUUCUACUACAGUUCC
This 752-nucleotide long non-coding RNA is filed under the name Cicer arietinum (chickpea). RNAcentral describes it as "long non-coding RNA (CARI_LNC001755)". The record is from RNAcentral. Lineage: Eukaryota; Viridiplantae; Streptophyta; Magnoliopsida; Fabales; Fabaceae.